Molecule: non-coding RNA, 1439 nt
Organism: Rhopilema esculentum
Lineage: Eukaryota; Metazoa; Cnidaria; Scyphozoa; Rhizostomeae; Rhizostomatidae
Source: RefSeq, a predicted model, not a curated record
CCUGGUUUUUAUCUCUGUGGUGUCACUGAUGUGUUGAGCAAACUAAUGGAAAUGAUGAAGACCAAAUAACAAUCUUUAUAUCGAUUUAUUUGGUCCAUCACAAAGUGGUGGUCCCCACCCACCAAAGGUUUGCAUGGGCAAGAUGAAUUGAAAGAAUUUAAAGUCAUAAUGGAAGAUUUAGAAAUUGAAGAGACAUACAAGUAUAUUUAUGAGGAUAAAGUUUGCACUGCAAGGCUUGAUUAUCCCUCAGUAUUUUCAGCCCUUUACAGAAGUGAAGAGAUUUCCUUGUUUGUUGAGAGAGAGUUGUGCAUAGCCAUUUACAUUGCUAUGGCCAUGAGUAGCUCAGAAGCAGUAGUAGAAUCGUAUUAUUCUGUCAUAAAAUCGCAGAAAAGGGAUGGUGGACACAAUAACAGGACAUGGUGCUUUUCAAACCCUCUCCAGUGCCAUAAAACAUUAAAUGAAGUAGCAGCGCUGUACCUUCAUGGAAAUGGAGAGGUUGGGCUGCCAAAACAUCAGGUUCAUCCUUGAAGAUAGAGGUUACUUAAAGAGGAUAUGACACGAAAAUGCAAAAUUUUAUUAUAGAUCAAAUCCUUGAUGCUGAUUUCAAAAAUUAAAUCGAAAAAUGAUUAUCUGCCCUACUUAAACCAGCCUUUGGCUAGUACGGACGACGAAAGCGAUGAUGGGCCUAGGCCUAAUGACUGAGAAUAACUGGAGGAUGAAGAUGGGAUAUCUCCAGAAACUUUUCGCGAAAGACAGACGGGGAACCUAAGUGUAGAUCAAUGGUGAGUGGUUUUUGUUUUCGCUGUUUUCUAAAUAGUUCAAAUUAUCCACCCUUUCAUGUCGGUACAACGAUACAACUGCAGCUCUUUUUUAGGUGUGUGUGCGGCAAAUGCUCAGCAGGGAACUUGGAAAGUGCCAGAGAGUACCGUUGCUGCCAUGAAGUGGCACCUGCUUAUGGAAAAGUCGUUUUUAACGGCGAAUCUGAUGAAAUAAAGUGUGACCCUUCAUGAAGACUAAAGGCCUUUUACAAAUAUAAAUGUCCUUAGAAACGUUGGUCCAUUGCUUCAGAAAAAGGAUGGAGGCCCUACAAGAAAAGGGCAAAUGUAACAGAAAAUGAGUAUCUUCGUGCAGUUUCUUAUCGCUGGUUAGCACGCUGGAUAUUUGGAUACAUGGGAUGGGACAAUACACGGCCUCUGCCUGCAUGCAUUUUUCAUAACGUCCAUGAAAAGUAUAUGUCUAACCAGAACAUUGGAUAUAAAAAUGCAGAAGAACGUAACUAAAAAACAUAGAUUAUAUUUAUUCAAUUAGCUUUUGUUAUAUUUAAUUUCAUGCAAGUGUAUAUAAUUCUUUAAGUCAUUCUUUGCAUAAAGUCUUAGAAUGUCCUUUCAUCAAUUGGCCACAUUUUUUGCAUGAAGGGGCCUUUCUUUUUGGCAAACGAU